Molecule: long non-coding RNA, 355 nt
Organism: Silurus meridionalis
Lineage: Eukaryota; Metazoa; Chordata; Actinopteri; Siluriformes; Siluridae
Exons: 3
Source: RefSeq, a predicted model, not a curated record
CUACUAAGGCACCACUGCCUUCAUGCACUCACUCUCUUGAUAUGUGAAAUUGACAGGAUUUUCUCCUUUUCGGAGAAAUUCUUGAAGCUGGACAAAAAAAACACUAAAGAAUCCAUAGUGCUAGCGUUAGCCGCUAAGCAGGAAGUGGCUAUCGGCUAACACUAUGGAUUCUUUAGCGAGUUGAUGCAUGCACACUACAAAUCUUAUUUUCAGUACGGAACUCGGAGACCCAAACCUGUUCCAGCAUGACAAUAAACCUGUUCAACACAACAAGCUUCAAUCCUACAAUCUUACCUUACAGGGCCACUGAUUCCAGCUCCAAGCUUCUGGGUCCAGUUUAUAGUGUACUCUUCCA